Molecule: ribosomal RNA, 548 nt
Filed under: uncultured Glomeromycotina
Lineage: Eukaryota; Fungi; Glomeromycota
Description: SSU rRNA
Rfam family: Eukaryotic small subunit ribosomal RNA
Source: RNAcentral
UUGGAGGGCAAGUCUGGUGCCAGCAGCCGCGGUAAUUCCAGCUCCAAUAGCGUAUAUUAAAGUUGUUGCAGUUAAAAAGCUCGUAGUUGAAUUUCGGGAUCAGAGUGUCGGUCGUGCCUCGGUACGCACUGGUAUUAUUGGUUCCUACCUUCUGAAGAACCGCGAUGUCAUUAAUUUGGUGUCGUGGGGAAUCAGGACUGUUACUUUGAAAAAAUUAGAGUGUUUAAAGCAGGCUUACGCUUGAAUACAUUAGCAUGGAAUAAUGAAAUAGGACGUUUGAUUCUAUUUUGUUGGUUUCUAGGAUUGACGUAAUGAUUAAUAGGGAUAGUUGGGGGCAUUAGUAUUCAAUUGUCAGAGGUGAAAUUCUUGGAUUUAUUGAAGACUAACUACUGCGAAAGCAUUUGCCAAGGAUGUUUUCAUUAAUCAAGAACGAAAGUUAGGGGAUCGAAGACGAUCAGAUACCGUCGUAGUCUUAACCAUAAACUAUGCCGACUAGGGAUCGGAUGAUGUUAAUUUUUUAAUGACUCGUUCGGCGCCUUACGGGAAAC